This 444-nucleotide ribosomal RNA is filed under the name uncultured bacterium. RNAcentral's name for it is "bacterial SSU rRNA". It matches the Rfam family "Bacterial small subunit ribosomal RNA", at positions 958 to 1398 of the family's 1533-position model. The record is from RNAcentral.
AACGCGAAGAACCUUACCUGGGCUUGAACCGCACAGGACCAGCUCCAGAAAUGGGGCCUUCCCGCAAGGGACCUGUGUAGAGGUGCUGCAUGGCUGUCGUCAGCUCGUGUCGUGAGAUGUUGGGUUAAGUCCCGCAACGAGCGCAACCCUUGUUUGCUGUUGCCAUCAGGUUAUGCUGGGCACUCUGCAAAGACCGCCGGUGAUAAACCGGAGGAAGGUGGGGAUGACGUCAAGUCAGCAUGGCCUUUAUGUCUGGGGCUACACACGUGCUACAAUGGCCGGUACAAACCGUCGCGAGCCCGCGAGGGGGAGCUAAUCGGAAAAAGCCGGUCUCAGUUCGGAUAGCAGGCUGCAACUCGCCUGCUUGAAGUUGGAAUCGCUAGUAAUCGCGGAUCAGCACGCCGCGGUGAAUACGUUCCCGGGCCUUGUACACACCGAGACGAC